This 5834-nucleotide long non-coding RNA is filed under the name Gossypium barbadense (sea-island cotton). RNAcentral's name for it is "long non-coding RNA (GBAR_LNC008793)". Lineage: Eukaryota; Viridiplantae; Streptophyta; Magnoliopsida; Malvales; Malvaceae. The record is from RNAcentral.
UCGGUCAAUAAAAACUUCUAAUUAAUAUUAUUAUUAUAAUAAUCAGAAGAACAUAAUGAUAUAAGUUGUUGGAUUCAUUUCCUAAAGGAAAAAUAUUGGAAGAGGGAAGCAAAUAGUAAAAUCCCAGCAACGAAAACAAGGGCACGUUCAAAAUUUGGUGCUUCAAAAGGAUCAAACACUUGAUAUUUUCAUCUCAAAGUUUGUUCAAUUUCCCACCUGUUUGGAAAGCUUUGGAUUGAUCCCUGAGGUUUGGAAAGGCUCAAAGAACUUGCUUACAAUCUUUUGCAGCUUUCGCGUAACCCCAUAUGUGGAAAGGACAAAGUAAAGACGAAAUACAUGAUUGGAGUUCUUUUAACUCCGAUAUUAACCUCCCAACUCCAUUUCCCUUUUCUUCAACAACUCCAUGGAACUCUGUAAGCAUUGAGAAGGUGGUGUUUCCUUCAAAACAAUAGCUUCUAAGAUGCAGGUAAACAAUUUACAAGCAUAUUUAUCAUGUUUCAAAAGCUUUCAUAAUAAUAUAGACACAUAUUUCGGUACGAGUAUGGAUCAUGAAAACUUUUCCUCAAAAAAACAAAGAAAAAGAAAAAAACAUGGCCUGAGCUUUCCUUUCAUAAAAAAUUACAAAGAUGAUUAAUAUAUACAAAGUACUUAAAUUUGAAAAUUAAUACCUACUUACUAGAACUAUUCAUUGAACGAGCUACCAGGCUCAAAGGCUCGCUUAAAAUUUGGGAGAAUUUAGGCAAAAAUAUUAGGCUCGAAAAAUUAGUUUGGACAAAAAAAAUUAGGUCUAUUUAAAAUAUGGGUCGAUCUCGAGCUUGAACAUUCAAAGCCCGAGCCUAACCCAAUCCGUUUUUAAGUUUAGAAUACUUUAUAUUAUGUAAUUUACAACACAUUAAAAAAAUUUAUAUUAAAUAUAUAAUAAUACUCUAAUGUAAACAUUAAAAUAAUGUUAAGAUCACUGUAUAAAAAAAUUCAAUAAAUAAAAUAAUAUAUAAAUUUAUUAAAUAUUAAAAUUAUAUAAUAUAAAUAUUUAAAGAAAUUAAAAAACAAUAUGGGUGGGCCUAAAAUGAGUUUUGAUUAGUCUUUUACAAAUAUGGCAAGUUUGGGUAAAAUUUUAUAUUCAUAUUUUGAGUCAAACCGGGCUUGGACAAGUAUAAAAUAUGUUAAUAUUAUGCUUAGAUCUAAUGUGACCCAUGAGCACCUCCAUUACUUGCUACCUGGAUUUUUGUUUUGGACUUAAUUAAUAUCUAAAUUUGAAACCAUAAUAUGAUUAUAUGAAGCAGCUUUAAAUUUUGUCACAUGAUAAAAAAGAUAAAAAUAUAUAUAUAACUUUUUAUAAAAUUUAAAUAUUUUUAUUUUUACCACGUACGUGUAACCAUAUUAAUACUCGUGAGUGCAGCAUAUAUAUAUAUAUAUAUAUAUUUUAACGAUGCAUGUUAAACCUUCCAAGACAUCCACUUCUUUUUUUUUUGAAUUUUUAUAAUUUAUUAUUAUUAUGAGGUGAUAUUGACAAUUUUGGUUUCAAAAUAGCUUUUUUUUAACAUGUGGCAAGCAUUUAUUGGAUGCUUAUUAUCACAUUAAUUUUUAAAGGGAAAAUUAAUGAGGUGCCAAUUUAAUAGAUCAAAUGAAAGCACAGAUAUGAAAUUGAUAAAUGAAUUCUCUAAAUACCUAAAUAAUAAUUUACCUACAAAUUAGAUAUUAAUUAUUCAAAAGAAAAUUUGAAUUGUUCUUCUGUUUGAUCUCCUGUAGUUGUUGCCUACACUUCAAUGUCUCAAUCUAAUAGAAAUGGCUGCCCCCACUCCCUGGCCCUUCAUCCAAACGUGCCACGAUAUCCCAAUUUUUUUACUAUUUCCCAGCAUUCUUGCCCGUUAAUGCCUAGGUUUUUAAUUUUUUUUUAAAAGUAAAUUUAUUAAUUUAUUUAAUUAAUGGAAUCAUACAAUUUAAGGAAAAAUAAUAAUAAACACUUAUCGCAGAUGGUGAAAGACAAACUCUAUCAAACAACAAAAGCUUUAGUCUUAGCAUCAAUGACACGUCAAUAAUGGACUAUUACAACUCAAACACGACAUAUAUGGAGUAAUUGCAAGUACUUAAUACGAUAAGAAAAUCAACUCUGGAUGGUCCAAAAGCGACGAGCAAAAAUCGACAAAAGAAUUAAGCAUUCACCAAACUAGAGAGGACGAUAACAAAAUCAUCCUUAAAAUCAUUUGUAAAACUAAGGCUACAUGCAUAAACAAGACUAAAAACGUGCUACAAGAAUAGACAAAAACUUCUAAAACUAAAAAGUUAUUAAAUAAACAAAAAAAUAUAAAACUUAAGACAACAUAGGUCCAAAUCGUCUAUCCAUUUUCCAAGAAAAAUUACUGGUGGGUGGUGGAGUUUUAGCAAGCAACAGGCGAUGUCGUCUAUCCAUCACAACUUGUGAAGGCAAAAAGAUACCCACAAAAUAGAUCUUCAAACUGAAAAAAAAAGAAGACACGUGGAGUGAAUUAGAAGCAGAAAGAAAGAAAAGGUUGGUGGGAGUGAGAAAAAGAUGAGAGAUAGCUAACCCGAAGGCUGGUACUGCUACGGGGCAAAACAAAAGAUAAGAAGUAAACAACUUGGAAAAAAAACAAUUUUUUAGGUUUUAAAUUUAAUUUUUAUUUCUUUAUUUAAUGAAAAAUAAUUUUAAGUUUUAUUAGAUAUUAUUUUUUAAUUUCAAAGAUAAAUUUUUUAUUAAGAUUUAGAAUCAAAUGAAGAUUUUAAAUUGAUUCAAUGAGUAAUAUGAAUCAUUAAAAGUAAAAAAGAAAAUUAAUUUUUAAUGAAUCAAUUACAUAUACUAAAAUCGAUUCGCAAGUAAAUGUGCUAAUCAAUCAAUUAAACCUAUUAUUUAAAAAUAGGUUUAAACAAAAAUUGAUAUUUAAAUUAUAUUAAUUUUUCUAUCUUAUUACCUCAAUUUUUUUAAUAGAAAUGAUACCUAAAUUAUAUUUUCAUUAUUUAAAUAACUCCUAUUAUUAGGUCUAUUAAAAAACAAUUAAUUAAAAUUUGGCACAGGGCACAAAAAGAUACAUAAGUAUUAUUAUGUAUUUAUUUAUGUAUGAUAUACAUUGUUAGUGGAGUAAAAAAAACAUUAUAAGCGGGUUUAGGUUGAUAUCAUUUGUUAUCAGGGUAUAAAAAAUAAAAUUUAAAUAAUUAAAAAAAGGAUACUUGAUAUCAUCUUAGAUUCACUUGUGGAGUAUUUUUACUCCACUCAUAGUGGAUAGAGUAAUUAUCAUGUCAUACCCCAAAAUAUAGGGGUAUAAUUGAAAUAAUUAACUAAGAAAUGAAGUAUGCUUGAUGGUUAAAUAGUUAAGUGCCCUCCCUAGAGGUCUUAGGUUUAAGCUACCCCUCACCCAUUUCUUUUACUUUUAUUUUCAACAACCUAGGAUAAAAACCACAUUAAAAUAAUAUAUUAUUAGGAGUAAUAUAAUUAAACAAAAAAUAGGCCUUAACCCUAACGGUUAAGAGCUUUCUUCCCCCUAAAUAAUCUAGAUUCGAUCCACAUUCUUCCCCUUCCAUCUUUUUUCAAUCUGGUCAAUUUUGGGUAUAUUGCCUAAGUCGCCCCCUAGGGUUCCCAAACCCUAGGUAUUUAGUUUAACUUUUCCCAAUUGAACUUAGAUUUUGUUUUCUCUUCAAUUCCAAUUAGAAUUUUCUUUCCUCUCACUAUUUUUUUCCCUCUUUCUUUUCUUCCCUCUCAUUUAAAUUAUAUUUUUCACCUUUUUGCUAUUGAAUAUUUUCUUCCUCGUAUCGAAUCAACCUCAUUUCUUGAUUUCUUAGCAGUAUCAUCAAAUAACAUCCUUAAUAUUUUCCAAGAAUUAGUAAGUACAUCUUAAUCCCAAUGAUUAACCUCAAAUUAUUAUAGAAUUUCUGUCCAACACUAAUCUCGCGACUGAUUAAAUGAUCUCUUAUGAUUCUUGCCAAAAUCUUUCGUAAAUUUUGUUAAAUCUUGAUACCACUAUUAGUUCAUGUGAAUUUGUUAUUGAAGGAUCAAAUUUAAGUGCGUCAGACCAAAAUCGAGCGUAAGGAACUUCAAUUGCACUUCCGGUGAAAGGUGUAUGUCUUUUCCCAAGUGAAUUGGUGGUGAUUGUGUGUAGAAUUAGGGCCAUAGUCUCCUACACAGGCGUGUGAACUACACGACCAUGUACCUCUGAAACCCUAGGCUAGUUCAUGAACCACACAGCCACAACUUGGCACACGGCUGUAUAUCCCCUAUAAGUUAAUUUUUACAUUUGUUACAUGACUACAAUCUGUUACAUGGGCUAACCACACAAUCAUGUAUUGUAACAGCCAAUUUUUGAUAAAAACAAAACAGUGGUUUCGGGACUACAAAUCCGAGUCCAGAAAGAAAAUUUAUUUUAAUACUAUUUUAUGAUCUACAGUAUGAUAAUAAUAUUGUGUGAAAUUUUCAUAAAGAAACUUUAUUGAUUAGAAGUUUAAUUUGAUAAAUGACCAAAUUGCACAAAGUGCAAAAGUUGAGUUUUAUUAGCUAAAAGGAUUAAAUAUCCAUAGAAAUUUAAAUUGGAGGUCUUUAUAUGGUAAUUAGACCAUUAAUAAAAAGUUAGUAGAUAUUUUUGGAUGAUUCAUCCAUGGAAAAUUAGAAAAAGGCUAAGGACUAAAUUGAAAAUCAAAAUAAUUAAAGAUGAUAAAUUAAUUAAAUAACAAAAUGUUAUCAUUUAUCAUCAUCUUCCCCAAAUAUUUUGUAUGGAAACCCUAGGAAAGAGAAAGAAAUCUUUCUUGGCCAAAUUAGGUAAGUAUUUAAGCCUGUUUUUAGUAAUUUUUAUAUUUUUGAGAUCGGGAUAAUCUAAUCUAGCUAUUUUGGGGAUCAAUUUCUAAAUUUAUCAAAGUAUGAAAAUUUUUCCAUGGAUGAAUAUGCUGAAAUUUUGAUAUUUAUGGUAGAAUUUAAAAGGUUUUUGAUAGAUAAACAACUUUUACAAAGUGAAUUUUGAUGAAAACAUAAUUUAGGGACUAAAUUGAAAAGUUAUAAAAUUCAUGAAAAAAAUUCUAAAUUUUAUGAAAUACAUGGGCUAUAAAUGUUACAUGUAAAAAUUGGUUGGGCUUGGAACAAGGAUUAAAUUGCAUGAAUUUCAUAUUUUGAGCUUAGGGAUAAAAUAGUCAUUAAUUAAAAAUUUAGGGGCAAAAUGGUAUUUUUUUCCUAAGAUGUGAAUUGAAUUGAAUUGAGUUUAAAUUUUAUUAAAUUUAUGUUAAAUUUACUCAUAUAGAUCUAGAUAUACUAAAUUUGUAGUUAGAACGAAGAAAAGAGAAAAAUGUCGGAUUAUUAGAUUUUAGGUACACAAACGUUUGUCGAGGUAAGUUCGUGUAACUAAAAUUGUGUAUAUUUACAUGCUUGAAUUAAAUGUUGUGUAUGCGAAUUAUAUAAAUAUCACAUAUAUAUAUGACAUUGAAAACAUAUCCGACAAAGCCCAAUAAAUGAUAAAUGAUAAAAAUGUUACUUUUAUGCUUGAAAAGAAUGUGAAUGUGUUUAUUUGAAUUGUAUGAAUGUUAUAUAUGUAUGAAAUAAUCACCUGCCUAAUAAUGCCUGAAAAUUGUUAAAUCCCAUUUGAAUAAAUGAAAAUCGAUGGAUGCAUGAUUUCCCGUAAUGAAUAUAGUUCAUCAUAUGUUGCGGACAGGAUUUAGCUCGGACAAGUAAUCCUGAUAUAGCCCUCUCGAGCAUCUUGUUAUAUAGUUCCUGCGAGCAUAUUGAUCGGUAGUGGUUUAGCAUGUGUUGCGCACUACUGCAGCUCUUUGUGAGUGGCUUGAUAUGCAAUCAGUUGUGAUCCAGCAUAUAAUGCAGACACAAACGCAACUCUACAUAAGCAUCC